GUUCACCUAAUCUACUCCUGGUGGCGUAUACUCGGCUAAUGCUAUCUCGGUUACUCCCACUCUAUGGUCCGCGUUGACGUGUGCCCGCUCCGGUGGUGCUGUCCGUAGUCAGUGACGUGACGAAGUUCUGUAGUCUAUUAGCUAACCUCCAAUUGUCAAAUUCUGCCGAGUGGUUCCAGAUUUCAAUUUCCAUUUGUGAAAGAAAUGCCGAAAAAUCGUGGAAACAGAACAGGACGGAAUCUUUAAAGUGGGUACCAUUUCGAUUUGUCAUUCGUUGUGUUAUUUCUGAACCAUAUUAGGGUGGACUUCGCAAAGCCGGCUCCGGGCACAUGCCAUGGGGGUUAACAGUUGCAAAUACCAUCCAACCAGGGAAGUUUGGAACACUAGACAGCGUCGUUGACUCCUCUUGUGACGGUGGUGAACUUCUCCGAGGGUGUUUGAAUCGGCAGCAGUUGUAGGUUGCAUAAAAAUGAGAGAAAAGCAUUUAGUAUACUGAAACCCUGGAGCAGAGGGAUAACAGGGUGUACGGUGGAAUUUCGGAAGAAGCGGUGUUGUGGGAUACCACUUACUUACUCGUGACAGUCAGACGGUUCUGUCUGGUGGUAAUGAAAACUCCACAGAACAAACAAAAUUGUACGGAACAGACAUUUGAAUUAUCCAACCCUGGCAGGGUCAGGUUAGAUCUAUAGGUUAUGGUGGAACGGAUUCAUCAGGACUGUAACCAGGUCAUAAACACGGGUGAAAUUCCUUUCACAACGGUAUACGGACCAGAAAACUUCGGAGCCAAUUUGGCUGCAAAGCUAUAAACGGCGGAUGACCACGGAUUAGCACGGUGCAGAACUCUAUCACCGACAUGAAAACGAAAUUCCCUUCGACGGAGGUUGUAAUGGUGAGCCUGUUGCUCAAAUGCACGGUACAACCCGGUAUUGACAAACUCAUAGGCCUCCUGAAGA
Coccinella septempunctata (seven-spotted ladybird) is the source of this 953-nucleotide long non-coding RNA. RefSeq lists it as uncharacterized. The record is from RefSeq and is a predicted model, not a curated record. The transcript is spliced from 3 exons. NCBI's taxonomy places the organism in Eukaryota, Metazoa, Arthropoda, Insecta, Coleoptera, Coccinellidae.